UACGUAGGGUGCAAGCGUUGUCCGGAAUUAUUGGGCGUAAAGAGCUCGUAGGCGGUUUGUCGCGUCUGCUGUGAAAACCCGAGGCUCAACCUCGGGCCUGCAGUGGGUACGGGCAGACUAGAGUGCGGUAGGGGAGAUUGGAAUUCCUGGUGUAGCGGUGGAAUGCAGCAGAUAUCAGGAGGAACACCAAUGGCGAAGGCAGAUCUCUGGGCCGUAACUGACGCUGAGGAGCGAAAGCAUGGGGAGCGAACAGG
This 254-nucleotide ribosomal RNA is filed under the name uncultured bacterium. RNAcentral describes it as "partial 16S ribosomal RNA". It matches the Rfam family "Bacterial small subunit ribosomal RNA", at positions 524 to 776 of the family's 1533-position model. The record is from RNAcentral.